UUGGUAUAUGGAGUUCGCCUUUCGGGCUGCAAUGACGACAGAAGGAUGCUUCACUCGGGGAGGCUCCUCUCCUCAAAAGGCUUCUAUGAACACAUGCUUAACACCCGGAAGAACCUGCGCAGGAAGAAUAUCCUGCCUGAUGGGAAGUGUUCACGCUGUGGCGGUAAUGUGGAAGACAGGUUGCACGUCUUCGUUUCUUGUUCCAGGGCCAGCAUCUCCUGGAGAUUGGCGGGCUUUAGGAUUAAUGGCGUUGAAGGAUUCCCCCUCUUUCCUCCUAUCAUCCCUCAUGACGCCAUCUUUAGAAUAUCCUUGGCACUAUUCUCUAGAGGCUGUGGGAGAAUAGGAACAAUCUCAUCUUCGAAAAUGAGGAACCCCGUGUACGUGUGA
RNAcentral lists this unclassified non-coding RNA (387 nucleotides) under Zea mays. Its description in RNAcentral is "misc RNA Zm00001eb395900". The record is from RNAcentral. Lineage: Eukaryota; Viridiplantae; Streptophyta; Magnoliopsida; Poales; Poaceae.